CCGUUGUGCCACCGUAAUCCAACAAUGGUAUCAGAGCAACUCUAACUCAAUCAAAGAUCAUUAUUAUGAUCAUGAAUUAAAUCAAGUGUUAGUUAUAUAUGAUGAUAUAUAUGUGAUCAUGUUAUAAGAUUCAUUGUGUAUGCAAUCAUAUGUCAUUAUGCUUUUUAUAUAUCAUGCAAUAUGAUGUUAAGUUAGGAUGUGCAUAAGACCAGGAUGAAAGAUUAGUAUCCUA
RNAcentral lists this long non-coding RNA (232 nucleotides) under Elaeis guineensis (African oil palm). Its description in RNAcentral is "long non-coding RNA (EGUI_LNC068180)". The record is from RNAcentral. Lineage: Eukaryota; Viridiplantae; Streptophyta; Magnoliopsida; Arecales; Arecaceae.